CACGUAGGGUCCGAGCGUUGUCCGGAAUUACUGGGCGUAAAGCGUGCGCAGGCGGUUUUGUAAGCCAGAUGUGAAAUCCCCGGGCUUAACCUGGGAAUGGCAUUUGGGACUGCAAGGCUGGAGUGUGGCAGAGGAGACUGGAAUUCCUGGUGUAGCAGUGAAAUGCGUAGAUAUCAGGAGGAAUACCGAUGGCGAAGGCAGGUCUCUGGGCUGACACUGACGCUCAUGCACGAAAGCGUGGGGAGCAAACAGG
Molecule: ribosomal RNA, 253 nt
Filed under: uncultured bacterium
Lineage: Bacteria
Description: partial 16S ribosomal RNA
Rfam family: Bacterial small subunit ribosomal RNA
Source: RNAcentral